This 516-nucleotide ribosomal RNA is filed under the name Tissierella creatinini. RNAcentral describes it as "partial 23S ribosomal RNA". It matches the Rfam family "Bacterial large subunit ribosomal RNA", at positions 696 to 1209 of the family's 2925-position model. Lineage: Bacteria; Bacillati; Bacillota; Tissierellia; Tissierellales; Tissierellaceae. The record is from RNAcentral.
UUAGUUGCAUGCCAUAGACCCGAAACCGGGUGACCUAUCCAUGGGCAGAGUGAAGUUGAAGUAAAAUUCAAUGGAGGCUCGAACCCGGUAGCGUUUAAAAGCUAUGGGAUGACCUGUGGAUAGGGGUGAAAAGCCAAUCGAACUCGGAGAUAGCUGGUUCUCCUCGAAAUAGCUUUAGGGCUAGCCUCAAGGAAGAUUGAAAUGGAGGUAGAGCACUGAAUGGUCUAGGGGCGCAUAGCGUUACCGAAACCUAUCAAACUCCGAAUGCCAUAUUCAUAUACCCUUGGGAGUCAGACUGUGGGGGAUAAGCUUCAUAGUCAAAAGGGAAACAGCCCAGACCAUCAGCUAAGGUCCCAAAAUUCUAAUUAAGUGGUAAAGGAUGUGGAGUUACACAGACAACCAGGAUGUUGGCUUAGAAGCAGCCACACAUUUAAAGAGUGCGUAAUAGCUCACUGGUCGAGUGAUUCUGCGCCGAAGAUUUCCGGGGCUCAAAUUAGAUACCGAAGCUAUGGAUUG